UCUGCCCAACCACUCUCUCCUGGGCUGUCUCUGGGUGUGUGUCCGCGCGUGCCUGCGUGCUUGCGCCUCUCUCCUCUCCCUACUACUAGUACUUGUACUACCACUCUCCUAGCUCCUGUCCUCAUCUCCUCUUCGUCUGCCCCAUGACCUCCCCACCCCCUUCCCACAUCUGCGUUCUUGCUUCGCUGCUGCUGUUGCUUACUUGGCUACUGGCUUUGCACUGUCUCUCUCUCUGCUCCUUCCUUCCCUCCUUCCUUCUCCCCUGCUCAGAAUCAUCGUUUUUUUCCGCCUCAACAGCCGCGUUGUCAUCGUGAGGCAAGUCUGAGCUUGUGAAACAGGGUAGCAUGUUCUGUUGAUGGCUUUGUCCGCGAGGGGAAGGCUCGACAACCAGGUUUCUUUCGCAUAGUUGCUGGCACCCAGUAUAUAUGCAGAAUCGUUGGCGUUUGUCAGAGAUUGCACUGUAACAGCCACUUUGGAGGCGGGUACUUUAAUGAAAUAAAAGUUAACUUGAGGUGAAUGGGAAUCGGCGAGUCGUUAGCUCGAACCGCUGUCUGAUAGCACAUGCAAAACCGUCGAUCGCUAGAUUUCGGUGGAUGUUGUAGAUGUACUUGAGUCUUAAUUUUGGAGGAAGUAGUUGUUGGAGAUUGCGCUUGCUCAGGAGUGAGCUCUUUCUCUCCGUUCCCAUUCAUUUGCAAUGCGAAAUGGAAGGGUAGGAACCACUUUUGAGAGCAUUCCAGAUGCCGUCCUUGUCAAGAUAUUUGCUUUACUGCCGUCCUCGCAGAUUGCGAGCUCCUGCGCACUUGUGUGCAGAGCAUGGCGAGACUCCACCUGUGAUGCGACCCUGUGGAGCGAAUUGUGUGAGGGCUCUGGAUUGAGAGGAAAUGACGCAAUGCAGUGCCUUGGCGGAUGGAAGGGUUUAUUCGGUUCCGUCUACGGCGUCAAUUUGAUCGCUUCUCCAUACUUCGAACGAAUUCAUUACCUCGACGCCGACCGACUCAAGCAUCAAUUCUUGCGGCCAUGGGAGCCCAAGCACCGGCUCAUUAUCGACCGUAUUUGUAGAACUGAUGAAUGCGACGAAGAGCCUCAUUUCUAUGGCUACUGAGCAACAGAGGGUGGCUCAGUUUUCCAGCGCGGUGGUGGCGACGGUGUAUUGCGUGAGUGUCCCGCAUCUGACUGCUCUCCUUGUCCUGUUGCCGUGGAUAAACUCCUUAUGGCGACCUCUUGGCACUGGGGUAAGGUGCAGCAGUAUGUUGGUCUCCAAACAUUUUCCAACAAGUUCCUGAAUUGCAGUCCUCCCAUGAUGUUUUCAAUCUGGUACGCGGACAGGAAAGGCGAUCCUAGCGUGUUCAAAUGUCAAGUAGUAAUCCGAGAUGAGCUGAAAAACGUCAUCUUCAGCUGGGAAUCGGGUGAACUUGAAACCACGGAGAAUAAAUGGAAACUAGUAAAGCACAUCGUUCAGAAGUAUCCACCAGGAAAGGUGUCCUGUGGAAAGCUGCUAAUCCUUGUUCGCCACAGGGAUUGCGAUCAAUCGUGGUCAAAGCCGCUGGAAUGAGCAUUAACCACAGCAGUGGCUUCCACAGACCCAAAUUCACAUCUGUAAAGCUACAAUUCGUGCCGCUUAACGAGGUACCGUUGUGUAUUGAUGAACCUGCGUGCAAGAAAUUUUCACAUUUUUGAAGUUCAAUCGUCAAAGUGAAUUUCCAUUUGCCGAGUACUCAGAACUCGUGAAAGUGAAGAGCUGCCAGAAGUGAAACCCUUAUCCCUUCUUCCAAGUGACUUUUAAUAUGAAGAAAGUGGAGUUCACCCAUAAAUGAUGCAGCAAGUUUGUAUUAUUAUUCCUGAUCGACUAUCAAAUUGACACCACGAACUAUUUUUUUUCCUCACUGAAUAUUUUACGAUAUCUCUUGUACGCUCUAUAAAGAUUUGUGCAUUCGCGGGCGGCUGAAUUCAUUUCAAAAAAAACCGUUGAUUUUAUUCUCUCAACCAAAUUGCUGGCACAAGAUGCUUCAUGUGUCCAAUACACUCUUCUUCUCUGCCAAUUUCUUUCCAGCCUGGUGGCUUGACCGAGCAGCAUCCUGUGUGUCAUACACGUUGACCUUUUUGAAGCCUGUGUCACGUUGACCUUCCAGAAAUGCUGUCACUUUCCACUCUGCAUUUAUAAGUGGCAACUUGAAUCAUCUCAGAACGAGGCCAUUGCCAGAGCUCCUCAUUGCGUCUUGCGAGGCGCUUUGACCCGCCGACACUCCACUACGAGAGAAAUUCCGGAGCUAAUGUAAUAUUCACGCACUCUGGCAGCAAGAGAGUGCACACCUUGUGUCUUAACUGAUACUUCCUUGGUCUACAUACCUCAUGGUAUGUGUUUCAAAGCAGCAUUCCAAUUAUUAAUGGAUGUGGCAUACAGUAUCCACAACUUCCCCUCACCACAAGGAAACUUAAAAUAACAUAGUUGAUUCUUUCAGAGUGUCAAUUUAUAUAUUAUCGUUGUUCCAAGAAAUUAAUUAAUAUGAAUUUAACCUGCCCAACAUUGUAUAUC
RNA transcript from Physcomitrium patens, 2533 nucleotides. RefSeq lists it as uncharacterized. NCBI's taxonomy places the organism in Eukaryota, Viridiplantae, Streptophyta, Bryopsida, Funariales, Funariaceae. The record is from RefSeq and is a predicted model, not a curated record.